GACGAACGCUGGCGGCGUGCUUAACACAUGCAAGUCGAACGAGACGAUUGAAAGCUUGCUUUCGAAAGUCGAGUGGCAAACGGGUGAGUAACGCGUAGACAACCUGCCUUUGAGAUGGGGACAACAGUUCGAAAGGACUGCUAAUACCGAAUGUUGUAUAUUUUCCACAUGAGAGAUAUAUUAAAGAUGGCCUCUAUUUAUAAGCUAUCGCUCAAAGAUGGGUCUGCGUCUGAUUAGCUAGUUGGUGGGGUAACGGCCUACCAAGGCGACGAUCAGUAGCCGGUCUGAGAGGAUGAACGGCCACAUUGGGACUGAGACACGGCCCAGACUCCUACGGGAGGCAGCAGUGGGGAAUCUUCCACAAUGGACGAAAGUCUGAUGGAGCAACGCCGCGUGAGUGAAGAAGGGUUUCGGCUCGUAAAGCUCGGUUGUCGGGGACGAAUGUGCAUUACUUGAAUAAAGUAGUGUAAUGACGGUACCUGACGAGGAAGCCACGGCUAACUACGAGCCAGCAGCCGCAGUAA
This 524-nucleotide ribosomal RNA is filed under the name uncultured bacterium. Its description in RNAcentral is "partial 16S ribosomal RNA". It matches the Rfam family "Bacterial small subunit ribosomal RNA", at positions 28 to 523 of the family's 1533-position model. The record is from RNAcentral.